This 467-nucleotide ribosomal RNA is filed under the name uncultured bacterium. RNAcentral's name for it is "partial 16S ribosomal RNA". It matches the Rfam family "Bacterial small subunit ribosomal RNA", at positions 28 to 506 of the family's 1533-position model. The record is from RNAcentral.
GACGAACGCUGGCGGCGUGCUUAACACAUGCAAGUCGAACGGAAAGGCCCUGCUUUUGUGGGGUGCUCGAGUGGCGAACGGGUGAGUAACACGUGAGUAACCUGCCCUUGACUUUGGGAUAACUUCAGGAAACUGGGGCUAAUACCGGAUAGGAGCUCCUGCUGCAUGGUGGGGGUUGGAAAGUUUCGGCGGUUGGGGAUGGACUCGCGGCUUAUCAGCUUGUUGGUGGGGUAGUGGCUUACCAAGGCUUUGACGGAUAGCCGGCCUGAGAGGGUGACCGGCCAAAUGGGGACGAGGAUACGGCCCCGACCCCCAGGGGGGGCAGGAGGGGGGAAUAUUGCAAAAGGGGCGGAAGCCGGAUGCAGAAACGCCGGGGGGGGGAUGACGGCCUUCGGGUUGAAACCCGCUUUCGCCUGGGACGAAGGGUGAGUGACGGUAAUGGGAAAAGAAGCCCCGGCUAACUACGU